AAAAUAGCACACAACUCAAAAUUUUGUCAUGGGUUAAGUAAAGAACUUAAUAACUAACUCAAAAUAUGCUAAAAAUCCAAGAAUUAACAUGAAUUACUUACCUUAUUUAAAGUUCAAGAUCACAGAAUGGUUUGCUUUUUUCCUUCUUUAAAAUCGGUUAGGAAGAAACAAGGAUGAAUACUUUGUUUUCUUUACCCAUUUUCUACCUUUAAUUAUUAUUCUAUAAUUUAAAGCCAUUUAAUUAAAAAUAAUGCAAAUAGAAAAUUUAUAUAUUUUAUACUAACUAACAACAUGGUCGGCC
RNAcentral lists this long non-coding RNA (301 nucleotides) under Gossypium barbadense (sea-island cotton). Its description in RNAcentral is "long non-coding RNA (GBAR_LNC001736)". Lineage: Eukaryota; Viridiplantae; Streptophyta; Magnoliopsida; Malvales; Malvaceae. The record is from RNAcentral.